This 469-nucleotide ribosomal RNA is filed under the name uncultured beta proteobacterium. RNAcentral's name for it is "bacterial SSU rRNA". It matches the Rfam family "Bacterial small subunit ribosomal RNA", at positions 189 to 649 of the family's 1533-position model. The record is from RNAcentral. Lineage: Bacteria; Pseudomonadati; Pseudomonadota; Betaproteobacteria.
GGAGGACGCUAGAGAUCGCAAGACCUUGCGCUCAUUGAGCGGCCGACUUCUGAUUAGCUAGUUGGUGAGGUAAAGGCUUACCAAGGCGACGAUCAGUAGCUGGUCUGAGAGGACGACCCCCCACACUGGGACUGAGACACGGCCCAGACUCCUACGGGAGGCAGCAGUGGGGAAUUUUGGACAAUGGGGGAAACCCUGAUCCAGCCAUGCCGCGUGAGUGAAGAAGGCCUUCGGGUUGUAAAGCUCUUUCAGCCGGAACGAAACGGUCACGGCUAAUACCUGUGACUACUGACGGUACCGGAAGAAGAAGCACCGGCUAACUACGUGCCAGCAGCCGCGGUAAUACGUAGGGUGCGAGCGUUAAUCGGAAUUACUGGGCGUAAAGCGUGCGCAGGCGGUUUUGUAAGUCAGAUGUGAAAUCCCCGGGCUUAACCUGGGAACUGCGUUUGAAACUACAAAGCUAGAAGGG